This 253-nucleotide ribosomal RNA is filed under the name uncultured bacterium. RNAcentral describes it as "partial 16S ribosomal RNA". It matches the Rfam family "Bacterial small subunit ribosomal RNA", at positions 524 to 776 of the family's 1533-position model. The record is from RNAcentral.
UACGUAGGGAGCAAGCGUUGUCCGGAAUCAUUGGGCGUAAAGCGCGCGUAGGCGGCCCGAUAAGUCCGCUGUAAAAGUCAACGGCUCAACUGUUGAAAGCCGGUGGAUACUGUCGGGCUAGAGUACGGAAGAGGCAAGUGGAAUUCCUGGUGUAGCGGUGGAAUGCGCAGAUAUCAGGAGGAACACCAGUGGCGAAGGCGGCAGCCUGGACCGAUACUGACGCUGAGGUGCGAAAGCGUGGGGAGCGAACAGG